GGAAUGCCUUGAAUUUUGAAUUUCCGACUCAGGAUUUGUUUCCUUCCAUCACCAAAUGGAAGGGCUAACCAAGGCAUUUCUGAAUAGAACUCGUCAAAGGUGGAUUGAUCUCUGUCGCUUGAGAUGAAGAUCACCUCAAAUGCGUUGUCUUUUCUUUUAAUUGUGUGGUAUGCUUCAAUUAGCUUGGGUAAAAAGGCACGACAUGGAGGGCACCAAUGAGCUGAGAAGUAAAGAAGAAUGUUCUUUCCAACUAGAUCGGACACUGGGACCUAAUCAAGAGCAAACCAUUUGAAUGAUAUAAAAAACCUUUGCUAAUGAAUUCAAUUCGUGAUCAUAAGAAAGUUAUUGAAAGUAAUGCAAUAACAUGCGAGGUUAGCAUAGAACAAAAAACAUUACCUUGGAGCCACUUUUGUCAAUCAAAAAAUCAUUUUCCCCAUUAACCAAAACUGACUCAAGCGUCUGCGAUUCCAGUUUUGCCUUUUCAAUUGCAGCUAGCUCGUCAAGCUUUUCCGGUGUAAAUGGGUAGGCUUCAAUACCAUGUUCUUCGAUUAGUUCAGCUACAUUUGGGUUCAAAGUCUUCCCAUCUUGGCCAAUUAUGACAAGAUUAGGAAUGGUUCUAAGUUCAAAAUACCGCACUAGCUUCUCGCAGCUCUUGUCCUUAAAAGGCAAUGCCAACCAAGGCAUUGUCUCAAAACUCUCUUUGAAGUCUUCUUCUUCGUCGUCUAGAGAUAGUAGGACUACUUCAAAGUUCUCUCUUUUUUCCUUGAGCGUCUUAUACAGUUCCACUAGUUUAGGAGUGAAUUCACGGCACAUCCUAUGAGCAUGGGCUGAAAAAUACAAGCCAACCAAUUUUCCUUCAAGGUCCGACACAGGGAUCUGCCAUUACAGAUAGCAAAAAUGUGAAUUAUGGCAUCAUCAAUUCAAUUUCAAAACUAGCUAAUUGAAUGAACCAUCUACCUUUUUUCCAUCAUUUGAAAUCACAUAAUCACGUGAGCUUGAAACCAAGAUAGAGCUUAUGGUUUGAUUCUUCUUAGCAUUCUCUUCUUGCUCUUUAAGGAAAUUCAGUCUAUCAAGGUUGAACGGAUACCCAUCCACGCCAUGUUCCUUGACAUGUCUGACUCCAUUAUCGCAGGAAACCUUACCAUUAGUAUCAAAAAUAACAAGUUUAGGGAUCCCUCUUACUUUGAACACUUCCUUAAGACGUUGGCGGGUCUCCGUAUCAGGGAAGGGAAUAGCAAGCCAAGGCAUUUCGGAGAAGUAUGUGUUGAAGGAUUCAUCGUCUCCGUCAGAAGAAACGAAGACGACCUCAAAGUCCCCUUUGGAUGAUAGUUGUUCAUAGACUUCUACCAACAAUGGAGUGAAAUUACGGCAUGGGCCGCACCACGAACCAGAGAAAUAGAAUCCCACAAUCUUCCCAACCAAAUUGCUGAACUUAACCUAAAAAUUAGUGUCGAGCAUAAUCAGAAAAAAAAAAAAAACAUUAGCCCAUAAAUUAAGAGGGUAAACAAAAACUGAGGCUUUUCUUAAUCAUAAAAGCUCUAGAAAUUGGUCAUAAACUUGUUCUUCAGCAAGGGUCGCACUCUAAUUUAAACAUGAUAUCCAUCUUAAUUACGAGAAAAAGUUUAAUAAGACAAGUAGAAGUAGAUCGCAUAAGACCAGAGAAAUCCAUAAGCUAAAAGCAGUACCUGGUCACCAUUGUUGCGGAUGAGAAAGUCCCUCUCUUCCGACGAAAGAAGGGAUGAAAGGUCGUGCGAAACGUCUUCGUUGGCCAUUGUUAAGUGAUGAACUACUCAAAAUGCUAUAACAAUUGCCGAUUCCAAACGCUAUUUAUUGGGACAAACUGGGAUGGUUCCUUUUAAGUUACUUGCACAGCACGCCUAGGGAAUUAUCAUACGUCAACGAUGACAUGUAAAUUUGGAUGGUGAUGCCAAAUUAAAACAUCAUUCUCCUUAUCUAAAUACCAUAGUUAUUAAACCCGGCCCGGGGGUUGACCCGGCCAAGGGACCGGGUCCCGGGUUUCAUGGGUCAACCCGGGUCAACCCGGAUUAACCCGGAAAAAUUAAAAAAAAUUAAAGUUUUAAUAUUUCAUAUGAAAAAAUCUAUGUAAAUAUAGAUUAUACAUAUUAUGAAGUUUAAAAUAAUAUUUUAAAAAGUUUUUUAUCCCACAUUGAAAAAACAUAACUUUUUUCUUAGAAACAUAGAGUAUAUAUACUAAUGAGUUUCAAAUCCCACAUUGAAAAGAUAAUAUAUUAUCCUUUUAAGUUGAAGUAUUUAAACCAAAAGGUUUUUUAUCCCACAUUGAAAAAACAUGAUUUUUUUCUUGGGAACAUAGAGUAUAUAUAUUAAUGGGUUUCAAAUCCCACAUUGAAAAAACAUGGUUUUUUUUUCAUGGGAACAUAGUGUAUAUAUAUGAAAGGGUUUCAAAUCCCACAUUGAAAAGAUAUCAUGUUAUCCUUUUAAGUUGAAGUAUUUAAACCAAAAAGUUUUUUAUCCCACAUUGAAAAAACAUGGUUUUUUUCAUGGGAACAUAGUGUAUAUAUAUGAAAGGGUUUCAAAUCCCACAUUGAAAAGAUACCAUGUUAUCCUUUUAAGUUGAAGUAUUUAAACCAAAAGGUUUUUUAUCCCACAUUGAAAAAACAUGAUUUUUUUCAUGGGAACAUAGUGUAUAUAUAUGAAAGGGUUUCAAAUCCCACAUUGGAAAGAUACUAUGUUAUUUUUUUAAGUUGAAGUAUUUAAACCAAAAGGUUUUUUAUCCCACAUUGAAAAAACAUGGUUUUUUUCAUGGGAACAUAGUGUAUAUAUAUGAAAGGGUUUCAAAUCCCACAUUGGAAAGAUACUAUGUUAUCCUUUUAAGUUGAAGUAUUUAAACCAAAAGGUUUUUUAUCCCACAUUGAAAAAACAUGAUUUUUUUCAUGGGAACAUAGUGUAUAUAUAUGAAAGGGCUUCAAAUCUCACAUUGAAAAGAUACUAUGUUAUCCUUUUAAGUUGAAAUAUUUAAACCAAAAGAUUUUUAUCCCACAUUGAAAAAACAUGGUUUUUUUCAUGGAAACAUAGAGUAUAUAUACUAAUGGGUUUCAAAUCCCACAUUUGAAAAAAAAAAAAAAAAAAAAAACCCGGGUCUCGUCCGGGUCACCCGGGUUCCGGGUUGACCCGCCGGGUCGCCCGGGUUUGGCCGGGCUGUUGCCACAGCCGGUCUUUUAUUAAACCCGGCCCGGUCCAGCCACCGGGUCGACCGGGUCCCGGGUCGACCCGCCGGGCCGGGCCGGGUUUAAUAACUAUGCUAAAUACCAGUAGGUUCGAGAAACUGGUAUUAAACAUGCUUUCCCACGUGCUUUUACACACCUCCUUUUGCUUUUUUGUUUAAAAAAGAAAAAGAAAAAGAAAAAAACAUAUUUUUUUUUUUUUAAUUUCUCUCUCUUUUGUUUUAUCCUUAUUUCUUUUCCUUUAAAGAUUCAUACAGUCACCCAGUCACUCUUCACUUUUUACCUUAUUAGUUUAUACAGCUGGGUCAGGCAAGGAUUUAGUCUAGCAGCCAUAACAUUGGGUCUCAUAUAGUUGCUUGUCUAAGCAUCUUGGAUCAUCAGGCAUGGAUUAGGUGUAACAGGCAAGCCAGUUCCAAUUCAUGGGUAUGGUAUAAUUACCCUCAUAAUUAUCACAUUGAGCUUGCCUCUGCAGGUCAACCAAAGAUCCGGGUAAUCUAGGACCUUAGUUAGGUAUAUUUAAUUUAAAAUUCAGGUCUGUAAUUGGCCUAAAUAAAACCGGUCAUCUUGUUAGGUUAACUCGGAAUUUGAUUGACCCAGUAAAACUCAAUAGAUACCUGUUUUUUUAAAAUAUAUUUUUUCUCUUAACUAGAGAUCCUUUUCUUUCAUAUUUUUUAGUUGGUUAUAACUUAUUUCAAAGUUCACUAUAUAAAUACUAGAAGAAUGUUUUUAUUUUUUUAAUGUGAGAUUUGAAGCACUGUAGUAUAUAUACUCUAUGUUUACAAGAAAAAAGUUAUGUUUUUUCAAUGUGGGAUAAAAAACCUUUUUGAUUUAAAUACUUCAACUUAAAAUAAUAUGAUAAUAUCUUUUAAAUGUGAGAUAAAAAAUCUUUUAAAAUAAUCUUUUAAAUUUAAUUAUUUACAACAUGUAUAGCCUAUAUCCACACAGAUUGUUUCUUAAUUUUUUUCAUAUGAAAUAUUAAAACCUCAUAUAUUUUUUUAAAAUUUUUCCAAGUUGACCCAGGUCAACCCGUGAAAUCCGGGUCUCGGCUCCUGGGCCGGGUUUGAUAACUAUGGGUGCAAUAAAAAUAUAACUUUAAAGAAUGCAAUUAAAAAAAAUAAAGUGACGUGACCGGUUAAAAAAAUAAAAACUAAAAAAAUGUACAGAACCUCAUUUUUAUUUUUAUUUUUGCUCAGGGAGCCUCUUUUAAAUAAUAUUGAUUUUUUUUGUUAUGUGUUUAAUUUUCGGAGUGGUUUUUUUGGUUCAUCUAUGGUUUUGUUUUUAUUUUUUAUAUAGAUAAAAUAUGUUUUUGAAAAUAAAAAAUGUUUAAAUUUAGAUGAUAUUUUUAAUGUGUGUAGUUUUACAUGUUAUUCUUUUUUUUUAUUCAAUCAAUUUAAUGUAUUAUUUUUCACGAUUCAAUAUAUUAAUCUACAUUUAUCUCUCGAUUUUUUAAGUUUUGUUUUUAGAUGUCAUAAAUAAUUUUUUAUUGAUUUAUUAGUGCACAUAAUUCUUAGUUUAUUUGAUUACUUAUGUGCAUCAACAUUUUGAUUUGUUAUAGUUUUUGAACUAUCAAAAUACAUUGAAAAAACCUGUAUAAAUAUUUUUUUAUAAAAAUAAAAAUAUUUAACUUACAGUAAAGCGGGACACGUAGCUAAUAAAUUCUAUUAAAUGAGUUAGCAAGGUAGAAAACAAACUUGUAAUAGAUUUGUGCACAUUGUCAUUUCACCAUAAGUUACAUUAGCUCUCAAAACUUUUACGUAGAAACUUAUAAUACUAGAACUAACCAAACAUACUACCAGAAAUGUACUAAUCUUGCAACAAAAUAAGAAUCAACACAUCAAAUUUCCUUAGUGCCUUUGAAACAUAAAAUGUAAAUUAUUAGGGCACAAUUAAUAAUAACUUAUAGGUAAUAAUUAAUCUUCAUCAAAUAUGCUAAAUAACAUAAAUCAACUUUGUCAAACAUAAUUAUUGUGAACAUUGAUAUUUUUUUUAGCCCUGUUUGUUUCAUGAAAAAUGGUUUUUUAGAAAUUAUUUUCCAAACUUUUCUGUGUUUAUUUGUCAUUAGAAAAAUUAAUCAACAAAAAAAACUUUCCAAUCAAAGAAAAAUUUAACUUUGUUUCUAGAAAAGUGUUUUUCUUUUAUUUUGGGUGGAAAACACUUUCUAGAAGUUGUGAAAAAUUUAGAAAUGUCUUGUUAUUUGCUGAUUAUAUCAAAUUUGAUCCUCAAACUUUUAAUUGUUAUAUAUUUUGUUUUGAUUUUUUUCUUUCAAUUUCAUCAUUUAGAAUUUGAUUUAAUUUGAUUUUUAUAUCAAUUUUGGUCUUUAUUUUUAUUAUUGUUAUUUGCUUUUCUCUUGUCAUUUUCUUAAUUGAAAUUUUUUUAUCUAUCAAAUCUAGUCCUUAUUUUUUUUAUUGUUAUUUAUUUUAUUUGAAAUAAUUUAUAAAAUUAUAUAUUUUUUUAAUUUCAUCAUCUUUCAAUGUUUUUAUUUGUUAGAUUUGAUCUCUAUUAUUUUGAUUGUUAUUUAUUUUAUUUGAGAUAAUUUAUGAAAUUAGAUUUUUUUAAUUUUAUUAUCAUUUAAAUUUUUAAUUUGUAAUAUUUGUUCCUUAUUAUUUUAAUAAACUUAAAAAAAAAUAAUUUAUUUUCCAGCUCAUUUUGCAUGAUAUAGUUAAAUACUAGAAAAUGUUUUUAAAUUUUUUUGUUUUAUGAUACUAUCAAAAAUCAAAAAAAUAAUUUACUUUUUAAAAAUUUAAUUUUCAAGAAAAUUACCUUUUUUAAAAAAAUAUAUGUUUUUAGCAAAGAAAGGGGUUAAUGUUAAAUUUUUUUAUAUAUGACAUGGGGGCAGAGUGCAAGCCAGCUAGCCGGAUAGUCUUUGGUGGAUGUUCUUUAUACGAUUUUUUUUAGAUGGAAAUCUGAGCUUUAUUGACCAUGUAUGUCUUGCCAAGUGGCUUCUUUUCUUUCCUUAACUGUCAUGUCUCAUUUGAUAAUUGGGAAUUCCUGUCAGGGCUUCUUUAUUUUAUUGUUAUAUUAGUUUGGUUUUGUGUUUUUUUAAUCAAGUUGGUGGGUCCAGAAAUUAUGAUGUCGUCAAGGUUCUUUCCUCGACUUGUCUCUAAUUCUUGAAUAUAUUAACAAAACUUUUAAAAUACGUAAAAAUUAAAUAUACUAUAAAUCAACAAACAAUUUAUUUGGAUUUAUUUUUUUAUAUAUAUAGACACACACACUGUAAAUCAAGACAUAAUUAACUAUGAACUUGCAUAGUUAUUUUACUAUAUAUUAAAACAUUUGGAAAAAACACUGGAGAUUUACUAUGAACACAAACACAUUGUUCUAUGAAAGACACUAUGUCAUAGAGUAUUUGCACUGUGGACGACACUGUAGCACCCUGGGAGCGUUCCUUUCCUUUGUUUUUAGUCAAGAAUUGCGGCUGGGGGUGUGACAUUCUUUGCCGAAAGCCGUUGGGUCUGCCUUUGGUAGCUGGACCUAACGCUGUUGGGUCUGGUUGACAAGUCAGACCCAAAACACUUCCAAAACAUGUCAAUAGCGUUGGGUCCUGCAUCCCAGCCAGACCCAACAGAGUAUUUGACUGUGGACACAGAGUGUUUGACUGUGGAUGACACUGUCUGUAGCGCCUGUCAGAGGCGUUAUCUUUUCUGUUUGUAAGUCAGAAAGGGUUGUUGGGUCGUUGCAGCAGGACCCAAUAGCUUUGGGUCCUGCUGGAACCAUUAGAGUUUGGUCUUGCCCUAGUAGGACCCAAGACUGUAAUUUUUUUUCCUUUUUCAUACGGGUAUGGCUGCGUAACCAGACCCAACAGCCAUACCCCAAUUAAAUUUCUUGGCCGUUACCUUCUCUAAUUUAAAUUUAUUUUUUAAAAUAAAUUGAUUGUACUGUGGACACCACUAUAGCACCUUCCCAGAUCGAUCCCAGCUUUAUCAUCUACACACGCACGCACAUGCACUUUUUUCCUUUGUCGACAAGGAAUUAAAGUUGAUCAAUGCAAGAAAGUAGUAAGAUCACUGACAUCGGCAUACGAAGAUUGUAAAAAAAAUUGAUUUCCUUUGGUGGAUGGAUUGGGAAUCCAUGUUAUCACAUAUGUGAGAAUUCAAUCCCGCAUGCCUCUGUACAUUGUAAAUAUAUAUCUUUUUCACUACAGUAUAACACCACCAUUGAAUAUUAAUGGAAGACCAUUGAUCAAUAAGGACGACUGGCUUCCAAACCCAGUAGCCAUACCUAAUUAAAUUUCUUUGUCGUUGCCUUCUCUGACUUAAAUUUAUUUCUUAAAAUAAAUUGAUGAUAUUUUUUUUUAUAUUGUAUCAAAGUUGUGUGAUGAUAAUUUUUUUUUCCAUUUCAAGUUGGGUUGAAUUUCCUAAUUAAAUCAUGUUUGAUUUUGCGUUUCAGAAAUUCUUUGAAAUUUUUUUGACAAUUUUUAAGUUUUUUUCUUUGCUUCAAAUUAAUAUUUUUGUUAUGUUUUUGUAUUUUUUUAAAAAAAUAUAUGUUGAGAUUUUGUCUGGCUGGGAUGUUAGACCAAGAAAUUUUUUAAUUUUUCAAUUUUUUUCUUUACUUCAAAAUAAUAUUUUCUUCAUGUUUUUGUAUUAUUUUUUAAAUAAUUUUUUUUAAAAAAUAUAUAUUGAUAUUGUGUCUGGUUGAGAGGUGAGAACCAAGAAAUUUAAAUUUUUUUAAUUUUUUCUUUAUUUUAAAUUAAUAUUCUUUUGAUAUUUUUGUAUUAUUUUUCAAAAAAUUAUACUGAAAUUGGGUCUGGCCGCGUAGCCAGAUCCAUGGCUGCGUUGGCCCCUGCCUUCCAGCAUGACCCAACAGCGUUGCCCACUACUCAUAAUAGGACUCAACGCUUAAUUGGACCCUGCUGCCUCCAUGCCCAACAACUUUUGCAACUAGGACCCAACAACGGUGGGCUCGGUCUCCGAGCAGGACCCAAUAUGCGUUGCCAGCCUGGGCGAUUGGGUCCUUUCCGCUGAAGGCACUUGACUGUGUAGCAAGCAUCGAAAACACAAGCUCAGUAGCAAUUCAUUUUUGCAACUAGACAGGCUAUAAACAAGCCUAUAAGCCCUUUUUUCUCUUAAAGAGAGAGAUUCAUACUUAUCAAUAUUACAAGGGAAAGAAAAGAUCCGAAACCGAAAAGGGAUUAUCUUGAUUUGAUUGCUUUCUAAAUAGGAUGUGCAUUUCUCCUAGAACCAGUUGGCUUACAGGCUUACAGGGAACCAAAAAUGCUUGGAAGUGACAAUUAGAUUUCUCUUAUUUAAAUUUAUUUUUCAAAAUAAAUUGAUGAGACUUUUAUUAUAUUGAUUAAAAGUUGGGUGAUGAUUUUUUUUUUCAUUUCAAGUUGGGUUGAAUUUUCUAAUUAAAUCAUGUUUGAUUUUGCGUUUCAAAAUUUUUUUGAAAUUUUUUGGAUAAUUUUUAUUUUUUUUUCUUUACUUCAAAUUAAUAUUUUUUUUUUAUGUUUUUGUAUUAUUUUUUAUAAAAAAAAUAUGUUGAGAUUGUCUCUGACUCGAAGCCAGACCCAAGAAAUUUUAAAAUUUCAAUUUUUUUCUUUACUUCAAAAUAAUAUUUUUUUUGAUGUUUUUGUAUUAUUUUUAAAAUAUAUUAUCUAAAAACAUAUAUUGAGAUUGUGUCUGGAUGAGAGGGAAGACCCAAGAAAUUUAAUUUUUUUUUUCUUUACUUCAAAUUAAUAUUCUUUUGAUACUUUGGUAUUAUGUUUUUAAAUAUCAUUUUAAAAACAAUUAUGUUAAGAUUAGGUCUGGUUGCGUCACCAGACCCAUGGCAGCAGUGGGCCCUGCCUACAAGCAGAACCCACCGCUACUAGGUCCUUCUGUCAAGCAUGACUCAAUGAUGUUGGGCCCUGCUGCCCAGCAGCGAUGGGCCACCCUCCAGGACCUAUUAGCUUUGGGUCUUGCGGCCAGCACGACCCAUCAAAAAGCAUUGGGUCUUGCUGGGGGCAGGACCCAAUAAGCCAAUACUGUAAUGUGUUUUUCUUUUCUCUUAUUUUUUUUCACAGGGUAAAGAGGAAAUAUUAUUAUUAUAUUAUUAUGUUAUUGUUAUUGUUAUUGUUAUUCUUAUCAUUAAUAAAUUCAAAGAAACAAAAUUAUUACGAUUGAAGAAAAACCAUAAAUUUUAUUUAAAGAGAUUAAAAAAUAUAAAAACUUGAGUCAGACAAGUUUAACAUUAUUAUUAGUAUUAUAAAUAUUAUUAUUUUUAUUAUAGGUAAUACUAUUAAUAUAAUAAUUAAUAAAUUUGAAAAAAAUAUCAUUAAUAUUGAAAAAUAACCAUGGAUUUGAUUUGAAUGUUAAAAUUAAAAAUUAUUAUUAUUAUUAUUAACUUGGGUUUGGCAUCCCCUUCUAAACUUGAGAAACUUGGGGCACGAAAGGGACACAUGAUCGAAGUUGCUUGGGAGAGGCAAGAGCGCGGAUUCAAGUCCCUUAGGUCUUGCAGCCGCGCCUGACCCACCAUAUUUGGGUUAGGUGUUUGGAGCAAAGCUUGGGUCUGGCUGCAAUGCCAGACCCAAGAGCGUUGAGUCUGGCUGAAAGGACGGACCCCAAGCUCAGGGGUCUUUCUUUUUAAAUAGACCCAAUGCUCUUGCGAGCUGGACCCAUUAAAGUUAAAACAUGCUGCCACCAGAGCCCAGCAGCAGUGGCCCUGCUGCCAGCCCCACCUGCCUAGCAAGACCCAAUGUUGUUGGGUCCUUCUGUUAAGCAUGACCCAAUGAUGUUGGGCCCAGAUGGGUACCCAGCUACUGGGUCAUUCUGCCGAGCAUGACCCAAUGAUGCUGUAACUUUAAUGCGUUCGGAUUGCAGCCAGAUCCAAUGCUCUUGGGUCUAACAUUAAUAAGGGGCGCAAAGCUCUUGGGUCUGAUGUUGCAGCCAGACCCACUUACUCUUUGAUAAGUUUAAUAUUGUUAUGAAUAUUAAAAAUAUUAUUAUUUGUAUUAGAAAUAUUCUUAUUUUUAUUAUAAUUAAUAUAGUAAUUAACAAAUUUGAAAAACAAAUUUAAUAUUGAAAAACAACUAUAGAUUUGAUUUAAAGGGUAAACUUAAAAAUUAUUAUUAUUAUUAUUAUUAUUAUUAUUAUUAUUAUCAUCAUUAAUAAAUUUUUUUAAAAAAUUAUUAUUGUGGAAGAAAAACCAUAAUUGUUUUGUGAAUAGAUUAAAAAAAAUAAAAACUUGGGUCAGACAAGUUAUAUAUUAUUAUUAAUAUUAUAAAUAUUUUUUUAAAAAAAACUAUAUUGAGAUUGUGUCUGGCUGAGUAGUGAGACCCAAGAAAUUUUAAAAUUUUUAUUUUUUUUCUUUACUUCAAAUUAAUAUUCUUUUUAUAUUUUUGUAUUAUUUCUAAAAAAAUUAUACUUAUUAUAUAUUAUAUUAUAUAUGUACAUAUUUUUAUUUUCUAUAUUAAAACGCGUUAUCUUUGUUGUUUGUAAGUAAAAAAUUACGGCGGAUUAAUGGAUCCUGCUACCACCAGGACCUAAUAGCGUGAGACCCUGUUGCGAGUAGGAUCCCAUUGGCGUGAGGUUCUAUUGCCUGCAAGAUCCCAUAGUGCUGGGUCCUUUAGGACCCAUUAGUGUUGGAUCCUGCAAGACCCAUCAGCUUUGGGUCCUGCGGCAAUCAAAACCCAUAAAAAAGUGUUGGUCUUGCCACCAGCAGAACCCAAUACUGUAAUGUGUUUUUCUUUUUUCUUAUUUUUUUCUUAAAGGGUAAAGAGGAAAUAUUAUUAUUAUAUUAUUGUUAUUGUUAUUGUUCUUUUUAUCAUUAAUAAAUUCAAAGAGAAAAAUGAUUACUAUUGAAGAAAAACCAUAAAUUUUAUUUGAAGAGAUUAAAAACAUAAAAACUUGGGUCAGGCAAGUUUAACAUUAUUAUUAAUAUUCUAAAUAUUAUUAUUUUUAUUAUAGUUAAUAUUAUUAGUAUAAUAAUUAAUAAAUUUGAAAACAAAUAUCAUUAAUAUUGAAAAACAACCAUAGAUUUGAUUUGAAGGGUAAAAUUAAAAAUUAUUAUUAUUAUCAUCAUUAAUAAAUUUGAAAAACAAUAUUAUUACUAUCAAAUAAAAAUAAUAAAUUUUAUUUAAAGGGAUUAAAAACUAUAAAAACUUGGGCCAAAUAAAUUUAAUAUUAUUAUUAAUAUUAUAAAUUUUAUUAAAUUCAUUAAUAUAUUAAAUUUGCAAUGAAUUUCAUUACUAUUUAAAAAAAACAUAGAUUUGAUUUGAAGGGUAAAAUCAAUUAUCAUCAUAAUCAUCAUCAUCAUCUACGCGGAGAAGACGGUUAUAAGUAGGAUUUGGGUGCGGCUCUGCAGCCAGACCCAGAGAUAUUGGUUAUGGCUGCACAACCACACCUUUAUUUAUUAGGUGUUGCUCCGCAGCUACACCCAAUAGAUAAACCUGAUUGGAUUGGGUCCUUCUGCCAACUUUUACACCCAAUAGCAGGACCUGAUUGGCUUCGAUCCUGUUGCCAGCAGCACCCAACACCUAUCAACGUUGGGUCCAGUACCAGUAAGACCCAAAAGCUUUGGGUCUGGCGAAACUAGACCCAUCGACGAUGGGUUCUGUUGACAGCUGAAUCUAUCAGCGUUGGGUCCUGUUAAUCAGCAAGGCCCAAAAGUUGUGGGUCUUUCUGUCAGACUCAAUGCUAUUGGAUCUGGCUUGCACUAGACCCAAGACACUUAAAACAAUUUCUACAUUUGACAAAAAAAUUCUUUUUGACACGCUGCGGAGCACAGACUAAUAUGUUAGAUAUCAAACAAUAGCGUGUGUACUGGAUUACUGUGGAAAUUAUUUUUUAUAUAAAAAUAUAAUAAAAUAAUAUUUUUUAUUUUUUAUAAAUUAUUUUUAAGAUUAAAAUUUAAAAUGAUUAAAAAAUAAAAAAUUGUUUUGAAAAAAACAAUUCAUAUUUUUAAAAACAUAGUUUAAAAAGCUACUAGAUGCCAUGUCCGCGCGAUACCGCGAGCUUGUGCAUUGUCGUGGGUUUGUGGAAAAAAUCAUAAAAAAUAAAAAAAAAUCAUAUGGAGAAAACUUGUUGCAAUCCACAAUGUUUUCAAGGAAAAAACUAUAAAGCUAAAUUCUCAACCAGCUUAAUAUUAAAAAAAUAAAAUCGACAAAGAUAAUUUUGAAAAAAAUCAUAACAAAAAAAAACGAAAUGAAAAAAAAUCAUGCAGGGAAACACUAUAGCAAAUAGUGUUUCCUGAGAAAAUCUACAGUUGUAAUUCUCAACCAUUUCAAUAUUAAAAUAAUAAAAUCGAUAAAGAUAAUUUUAAAAAAAAAUCAUAAAAAAAAAUCAUGUGGGGGAACACGGUAGCAAUCCACAGUGUUUUAAAGAAAAAAAACUAUGAAGUUAAAUUCUCAACCAGCUUAAUAUGAAAAAAAAAUCGACAAAGACAAUUCUGGAAAAAAAAUCAUAAAAAAGAACAAAAAAACGAUGUGCGGAAACACUGUAGCAAUCCACGAUAUUUUAAAGAAAAAAACUACAAAGCUAAAUUCUCAACUAGCGCAAUAUUAAAAAAAUAAAAUCGACAAAAACCAUUCUGAAAAGAAAAACACAAAAAAAAGAAAAAGAAAAGAAAGAAGAAGACAAUUUUGGAAAAAACAAAGCAAAAAAAAAUGAAAAAAAAUAGAAAAACAAACAUGCGGGGAAAGUUAAAGCUAAAUUCUCAACCAGCUCAAUAUUAAAAAAAAUUGACAAAGAUAAUUUAAAAAAAAAACAUGUGAGGAAGCACUGUAGCAAAAUAAAAACCUUGUGGGGAAACAUUGUAGCAAUCCAUAAUGUUUUUUUUAAAAAAAACUAUGAAGCAAAAUUUUCAACCAGCUCAAUUUAAAAAAAAAAUCAAAAAAUAUAAUUUUGAAAAAAAACACAAAAAAAACAAAAAAAAACAAAAAAAAAGACAAUCUUGGGGAAAAAAAGGAAAAAAAACAUGUAAAACCCAAAAAAAGGAAAAAAAUGAAAAUAAAUGUUGGGAAAAAUAAAAAAAACACAAAAAUAAAAUAAAAAGAAGACAAUCUUGGAAAAAAAAAACAUGUAAAACAAAUCAAAAAAAAUGAAAAAAAUAUGGGGACUUUCCCCACACAUUUUAGAGUAUUACUAGUUACAUGACCCGCGCGAUGAUGCGGGUUAAUUUUUUUUAUAUAUAAAUAAAAUUUAAAAAAAAACUAAGAUCUAAAAAUAUUAGGUUUUUCUGUAAAGCUAUAUCCAAGAGUUUUGGGUUUGACUGCAACGCCUGACGCAAAAAUAAUAUUUAUAAUUCUUUAUCCUUUGAAAAUGUUAUGUACAAGAUCAAAUGUAUCUUAUGUUUUGAGCAUAAUGAGUAAACGUAAAUCUAAUCCAUGUAAAAGUAAUAGAAAAAUAGUUAAUAAUAAUCUUAAGUACUGAAAAAUAACUAAAAUGUUUUUCUAAUCUAUGAAAGAAAAGAGCUAGUAAUUCAUGAUUAUUUAAAUGCUAGUUUUUAAUUAAAUAUUGAAAAUAAAAAUUUAAUUUGAUUAUAUUAUAUUCUACAUAAUAAUGAUGCUAUGAGUUGAAAGAAUUUUAAAUAAAAGAUCAAAAUAGAUUUUACAACUAAAAUUAAAUAUAUCUCUAUAUUUGAAGGAACAAAAAAUUUUUUUAGUAAUUCUAAUAUUAUUGAUCCAGUAGCUAUGUUUUUUUAUUUUAUUUCCUUUUCACUUUCUAGAACUGCAUUUGGACUUCCACCAUCAUUGCAUGGGUGGAGGGAGUACAUCAGCAGAAAUACGAGAUCCCAACAGGAAACAACUAAACAAAGAACAUAAAGAUCAAACUUGCAUUUCUCCGACAGAGAGAGAGAGAGAGAGGAUACACCCUUGCAUGGGUUUUGUUUUCUACAUAAAAUCCAUUCGUGUCAAGUUCACAACGUGCAACAAGAAAAUAUUCAUGUUGACAAGGGCUUCAAAACACAGAUUGAGAUUCUAAAGAACACUAGUCAUCCACAGUCAAAAGGGAUCACAAAUCAGUACCCUGUUCUCUUCCUUUUGCUAGAAAUCAGUAUUGAAUUUUGUCGAACGAAGACUGCAUACAAUUUUGAGGGGAAGAAAAAACAAAGCAGUGCUUCUUUGCGCCAUUGUCUCCUUAUCUGGUAGCUAUGGAGAAACUUCUUUAAAAUAGCAGUACUUUCUCCAUCUACAAGUUGAGAUGCCUAAAUUUUAAACCAAAAGCAACCUCUAUCCACUGGGGCUACUUCAAUGAUUUCCCUUUUGUGGUCAUUUGAUCUUGUACAUAACAUUUUCAAAGGAUAAAGAGUUUUGGGUUUGACUGCAACGCCUGACCCAAAAUUUUUUAAAAAAACUAAGAUCUAAAAAUAUUAGGUCUUGCAGGUUCUUUUAUUGCUUGAUUUCUCCAUCAAAUCGAACACAACUUGCACGAAACGGAUCCCCUACAGUUCCUCUACAACCCCAUGUGAACGUUGCAGGAUGAAUGACAACACGGCGUCACCGGGGACGGCGUGAAGAGGUCAAUGCAGGCAGCCUUUUCCUGCAGAUUUGACAACUCAGGGAGGCUACUUUGAACCAACGGUUGGGAUCCUUCCCAACAGAAUCAAGGCUGAAAUUUUUUCCCGGUAUAGACAAGAUUGCCCUCUUCCACCGCCUAUAAAUAGAGGCGGAGUUGAUGGCCUGAUGGAGGAGAAAAUCGAGUCCAAAGUUGACAAAAAAACCAGCCUCCUCCCUAGUUUUUUUUUUCUUUUUCUGCAACAAGUCUCUCUCUCUACACUCUCUCUCACCGUGCUCUCAGCGACUCCAAGCCACGCCGCCACCAGCUCGUCUUCCACCCUCUCCACCACACUUAUUCCUCUCCACCGAAAGCACCUCCUUUUUCCUCCACAACGGCAGCAGCCCAUCAACACCAUCAUUUUCAUUUUCUUUCUUCUCCAGUAUCGGCAACAGCAGCACCGACUCCUCCACAGACGCCGCCACCAGCUUCAGGGCGACUACUCGGACCACCUCCAACCUCACUCCAGGUCGGUGACAUCAACUGCUUCUCCCCCCCGCAAGGUUGCCUCCCGCUCCACUCCGCGGGCUGCAACUGCAAAGUUGCAUAUAGAACGUGAACUUACUGUUCACGUUCUGCACAUAAUUCAUUUCACUUGGGUCAAGCCAGUUCUGGCCCAGACCAAAUGUUUGGGCCGGGUCCGGCCCCCAAAAAGGAGAGAAAGAAAGUAUGUUGGGCCGAUAUCGGCCCAAUCUUUUUGGGGCCGAUAUCGGCCCACUGUUUCUGGGUUUAUGUCUGGCCCAGUCAUCUGGGCCGGCCCAGCCCACCUGUUUUAAUAAUAUUUAUUUAAUAUAUAAUAUUAUAUUAUAUAUUUCUUUUAAAAAAAACAAAAAAUUCCAAAAAAAUUUCAAAAAUCCUUUGAAAAAAAUUGUGAUUUUCUCAAAUAUUUUUUUUACCAAUUUUGCAUAAUAUCGGGUUGUAUAUUUACACUGUAAAAUACAAAUCCUGUAUUAAAAUACCUGGUUUUCUCUGAAAUAUUUCAAAAAAAAGAAAAUUAAAACAUUCUAAAAAAGAAAAAAUAUUUUAUUGCAUACGGCCAAAUCCUAAAAUUUUUCCAAGCAUAUUUUUCAUAUAAAAAAAUGAAAACAAAAAUUGCAUCUUUUUCAUGUUUAAAAAAUCCAAAAAUGGAUAUCGUAACCAAUUUAUGAUUAUCCACUAGGAUUUGGUCAACAUGUCAAAAACCUUUUUCUAAUUUUUUUAGGGUCCAGAUGUAGACUUUAAUAUUUAUGGGUGUAAAAUUACACGAUAAAAUACACCCUCAAGUAUUAAAGAUACAAGGUGUAAAAAUACGAUGCUAAAAUUCAGACUUUAAAACGGUUAGGAUUUAACCCAAUAAGGUAGAGACUUUCUCAUGAAACGAGAUCUGCCUUGAGCCUUAGAAAAGACCAACGAAUAGAAACCCAACUUGGAAAAAAACAAUCAAACAAUAAUGCAGCUUACCUUAGGUAGGGUGCACUAGGUGUGAUGCGUCUUCCCCUUGCACAACCAGUCCCUUACUCAGACUCUCGCAGACCAUAGGUUCCUAGUGACCAUAAUACUAGGUGGCGACUCCUGAAUCUUAAUCAUAAUUUUAUGAUUAAAUCCAAAAAAAUCUUCCUAACACACCUCACAUAGGAGGCACGACAGAAAGCCUUCUUUGUCGCCAGACGACAUCGCACCGGCGCUCGCGCACCCCGCGACAAAGAUAAUUUAAAAAAAAAACCAUAAUAAAAAAAAUUAUGUGGGGAAAGACUGUAACAAUCCACAGUUUAAAAAAAAAUAAAACUAAAUUUCUAAACAGCUUAAUAUAAAAAAAAAAAGAAAAAAAAAAAGAAGGUCUUCGGUGGCCAUUGAUAGCUAUGCGAUGAACUACUCAAAAUGCUAGAACAAUUGCAAAUCCCAGUUGCUAUGUAAUGGAACUUCCAGGCUAAGGCUCCUUUAAAUUACCUGCACGCCCGGCGUAGGAAAUUAUUAUUCUAAUUAUUCAACGACAACUUCAAGACAUGGCUGGCGUCGGGUGAUGACGAAGACAUUAUGACGUAGGUCUGCUGAAGUGGACCAAGUGGUAUUCGCAUUAUCACGUGCUUCUACAACUCUCCUCUUGCUUUUUUUUUUUAAUCUCCUUUUUUUUUGUUUUUGUUUGUGUUCUAGUUUUAUCCAUGGUUUGAUAAUUGUUUUGUGAGUUUGUUAUUAAAUGUAUUUUGUGCUUUUAUCUUUUUAAUAAAAUCUUUAUAUUUAUUGAUUAAAAAAAAUACUUAAUUUGUUUUUUUAAUUAGAAAAUUAUUCUCUUCUGGUUUUGCUGCAUUUGAAAAUGAAUUUUUCUAUCAAAAUUUUUUUUUCUAAUAUAAAUCAAUAAUCAUAUGUAAAUCAAAGUUGAAAUGAACGAACAAACAAACUAUGUACAUGGCAUCUUCCGUAGGAAGCUUAGGAAAGGAUGAAGGCCAAGAAUAAUGUAAAAUAAAAACCUAUGCCUCCACUACCAAUAAUGUAAAAAAAAUUAUUGAGAAAAAUAAAUCAUGAAAAUGUACUUCCAGCUCCAGUCAUCCAAAGCUUCUUAAGUCUUAGAAAAAAACAUUUAACACAAAUCUCGAUAUAAUUCAUAUGUUAAUUAAAUUCUCAAAGAUAUCGAGAGAAUUCUUGAUUAGAUUUUUAACGUAGUCUAUUUUCUAUCAAAUGUGACUUGAUAAUAAUCAUAUGCAUCAAAAUAAAUUCUCUUUAAAUAGUUAUUGGUUUUUUUCUUUUUUUUUAUGUUUUUUUUUUAUUUUUUCUAAAAUUAUCUUUAUUGAUUUUAUUUUUUUAAUAUUUAUUCGCAGUUAUAACACCAUCAAACAUAUUUAUUUUAUAAACUCGUGAUAAUGUGCUAGCAUGCUAUUUAGUAUCAAAUUAUAGUGUGUGUAUAGUAUUACUGUGGAGAUUAUUUUUUAAAAUAUUUUUAUAUGAAAAUAAUAUUUUUUAUUUUUAAAAAAUUAUUUUUAAUAUUAAAAUUUAAAAUGAUAGAAAAAAAUAUAAAAAAAUUAUUUUAAAAAAACAAUUUAUAUUUUUAAAAACACAGUUUAAAAAGCUAUUCCAAACAGCGCUGGAUCCACCACGCAGCUUGGGCUUACGUCCCUUUACGAAAGAUGAGAUUCACAAUAACAAGAGAAGAAGGGUUACUGCUACAAUUACAGGAAUAUUUGCUCUAAAGGUGAAGUUUCUCCAUCCAACCAGGUAGAAACAAAGAGAGUGGCACGAUGGCAUCAAUUUUAUUAGACGAGUGCUAUAAGUUUGGAGUUCACAAUUACUAUUUCUUCUAUUAGAAAACACAUUGCAAUGUAUGUAUAUUCUUUUUUAUGUUGAAAAUUUUUAACGAAGGGCGGGUUAACUAGUUAAUAGUCUCAUGUUCUUUAGAAAUUGAAGGGAUUAAACACUAAAGUAACUAACUUUCCUCGCCAAAAAAAAGGUAUGGUUUGAUUUUUUAACAUAUGAUUGAAAUUUAAGUUUUAAAUUUAAGUUUUAAUCGCCACUAGAUUGGUAGCCUGCAUGCCAUGUCACGCGCUAGCAGGAUUAAUUUUUUUUUCAUCGGAAGAAAAAAAUGCUUAGUCAUUUUAUAUUGGAUUAAUAUGAUUAAAACAAUAGGAAUGAUAAGCAUUUUCCUCUACGAAUGAGGAAAACCUCAUAACAAGUGAUGGAGAUUUGAGAACAACAAGCAACCAUGGAUUCCCAAGUUUCAAAUGGGUCACAGGAUUCACAUAAACUUAGCCAAUCCGGUUAUUUAUUCUUCGUAUCGAAAUACAGGACAUGAAAAUCCUUCAGCAACACACCUCUUAAUUACAUAUCAAUAACAGCAAAGACAUCCACAUCUUCACACACAUGCAACAAACACCUUACAUCGCACGCUUCUUAUAGCAGAAAGCCCAUAAAACCAGAUACAAGGAGCGCUUGCCCGCUUAAGCUCUGCGGCACACAUCUCCAUCGCAGUUCCAUCCUUCCUUUCCCUUUUCACUUCCAGUAUCUUCAUCUUCCUUCAACGCACAUUUCGGGUGAAGAUCAAAGUCACAUUGUUUGCAAUAGAAAGACCAACUAUGUCCUGUUUCACGACAGCCAUUGCAAACAUAUGCUUUGCGUUUAGUACGAAUCAGCUCAUGCUCAGUAUGAAGUUCGUGUUUCACUUUCUCUGGCCACCCCUUUUCCUUUUCCUCAAGCUCCUCCUCCAAUUGCUUUAGAUGUUCCUCGGUAAAUGGAAAAGCAUCUGCCCCGUAAGCUGUCAAGUGCUUCCGAGCUUCCUUGGUAAUGGUCCGGCCACUUGGGCCAAUCGCUACAGCUGCAGGAAUGCCUUGAAUUUUGAAUUUCCGACUCAGGAUUUGUUUCCUUCCAUCAACAAAUGGAAGGGCUAACCAAGGCAUUUCAGAAUAGAACUCGUCAAAGGUGGAUUGAUCGCUGUCGCUUGAGAUGAAGAUCACCUCGAAUGCGUUGUCUUUUCCUUUAAUUGUGUGGUAUGCUUCAAUUAGCUUGGGUAAAAAGGCACGAC
RNAcentral lists this long non-coding RNA (19157 nucleotides) under Populus trichocarpa (black cottonwood). RNAcentral's name for it is "long non-coding RNA (PTRI_LNC002468)". Lineage: Eukaryota; Viridiplantae; Streptophyta; Magnoliopsida; Malpighiales; Salicaceae. The record is from RNAcentral.